RNAcentral lists this ribosomal RNA (250 nucleotides) under uncultured prokaryote. RNAcentral describes it as "partial 16S ribosomal RNA". It matches the Rfam family "Bacterial small subunit ribosomal RNA", at positions 524 to 773 of the family's 1533-position model. The record is from RNAcentral.
UACGUAGGGAGCGAGCGUUGUCCGGAAUGAUUGGGCGUAAAGGGCGUGUAGGCGGCCAAUUAAGUCUGAAGUGAAAUCCCUGGCUUCAAGUCAGGGUCUGCUUUGGAAACUGGUUGGCUUGAGUGAAGGAGAGGCUAUCGGAAUUCCCGGUGUAGCGGUGAAAUGCGCAGAGAUCGGGAGGAACACCAGUGGCGAAGGCGGGUAGCUGGACUGUAACUGACGCUAAGGCGCGAAAGUGUGGGGAGCAAAC